UCCGUAAAUACUUUUAAUGAUUUUUGUUUUUCGAAAAAACGAAACAAUUUCCGUUACGUUUCUGAACACCCGGGCACUCAUAACCCACCCGCCCAGUUUUUUUGUUUUUGCGAAUCGCGUGAUUCGAACGGACAUCACCCUCCGCGCAGCCACUGCAUAUGUGCGUGAUGAUGUUUGGCUUUUCGCGCCGUCUCGCGAUUAUAUCAAGGGCGUUUUUUCUCUCGACGAUUCCAUAAGACCG
Molecule: non-coding RNA, 241 nt
Organism: Cinara cedri
Lineage: Eukaryota; Metazoa; Arthropoda; Insecta; Hemiptera; Aphididae
Source: the annotation of a GenBank genome assembly